UAAGCGGUUGAAGGUGUGUGGUAACGCAUGCUGGACGUAUCAGAAGUGCGAAUGCUGACAUGAGUAACGAUAAAGGGGGUGAAAAACCUCCUCGCCGGAAGACCAAGGGUUCCUGUCCAACGUUAAUCGGGGCAGGGUAAGUCGACCCCUAAGGCGAGGCCGAAAGGCGUAGUCGAUGGGAAACGGGUUAAUAUUCCCGUACUUCUUACAAUUGCGAUGGGGGGACGGAGAAGGCUAGGUGGGCCUGGCGACGGUUGUCCAGGUUCAAGUGCGUAGGCUUGAGAGUUAGGUAAAUCCGGCUCUCUUUAAGGCUGAGACACGACGUCGAGCACCUACGGGUGUGAAGUCAUUGAUGCCAUGCUUCCAGGAAAAGCCUCUAAGCUUCAGAUUGUAAGGAAUCGUACCCCAAACCGACACAGGUGGUCGGGUAGAGAAUACCAAGGCGCUUGAGAGAACUCGGGUGAAGGAACUAGGCAAAAUGGUACCGUAACUUCGGGAGAAGGUACGCUCUUGAUGGUGAAGUCCCUCGCGGAUGGAGCUGACGAGAGUCGCAGAUACCAGGUGGCUGCAACUGUUUAUUAAAAACACAGCACUGUGCAAAAUCGUAAGAUGACGUAUACGGUGUGACGCCUGCCCGGUGCCGGAAGGUUAAUUGAUGGGGUUAGACUUCGGUCGAAGCUCUUGAUCGAAGCCCCGGUAAACGGCGGCCGUAACUAUAACGGUCCUAAGGUAGCGAAAUUCCUUGUCGGGUAAGUUCCGACCUGCACGAAUGGCGUAAUGAUGGCCACGCUGUCUCCACCCGAGACUCAGUGAAAUUGAAAUCGCUGUGAAGAUGCAGUGUACCCGCGGCUAGACGGAAAGACCCCGUGAACCUUUACUACAGCUUGGCACUGAACAUUGACCCUACAUGUGUAGGAUAGGUGGGAGGCUUUGAAGCACGUACGCCAGUAUGUGUGGAGCCGUCCUUGAAAUACCACCCUUGUAGUGUU
Molecule: ribosomal RNA, 989 nt
Filed under: Vibrio parahaemolyticus
Lineage: Bacteria; Pseudomonadati; Pseudomonadota; Gammaproteobacteria; Vibrionales; Vibrionaceae
Description: partial 23S ribosomal RNA
Rfam family: Bacterial large subunit ribosomal RNA
Source: RNAcentral